Molecule: ribosomal RNA, 200 nt
Filed under: uncultured bacterium
Lineage: Bacteria
Description: partial 16S ribosomal RNA
Rfam family: Bacterial small subunit ribosomal RNA
Source: RNAcentral
AGAGUUUGAUCAUGGCUCAGGACUAACGCUGGCGGCGUGCCUAACACAUGCAAGUCGAACGAGGUAGCAAUACCUAGUGGCAGACGGGUGAGUAACACGUAGUCAACCUGCCUUUUAGUGGGGGAUAACUAGCCGAAAGGUUAGCUAAUACCGCAUACGAUCGUUGAGCGGCAUCGCAAAACGAUGAAAGGAGCAAUUCG